AACGAACGCUGGCGGCAGGCUUAACGCAUGCAAGUCGAGCGCCUUGGCAACAAGGAGCGGCAGACGGGUGAGUAACGCGUGGGAAUCUACCCAUCUCUACGGAAUAACUCAGGGAAACUUGUGCUAAUACCGUAUACGCCCUUAGGGGGAAAGAUUUAUCGGAGAUGGAUGAGCCCGCGUUGGAUUAGCUAGUUGGUGGGGUAAAGGCCUACCAAGGCGACGAUCCAUAGCUGGUCUGAGAGGAUGAUCAGCCACAUUGGGACUGAGACACGGCCCAAACUCCUACGGGAGGCAGCAGUGGGGAAUAUUGGACAAUGGGCGCAAGCCUGAUCCAGCCAUGCCGCGUGAGUGAUGAAGGCCCUAGGGUUGUAAAGCUCUUUCACCGGAGAAGAUAAUGACGGUAUCCGGAGAAGAAGCCCCGGCUAACUUCGUGCCAGCCGCCGCCGUAA
Molecule: ribosomal RNA, 449 nt
Filed under: uncultured bacterium
Lineage: Bacteria
Description: partial 16S ribosomal RNA
Rfam family: Bacterial small subunit ribosomal RNA
Source: RNAcentral